RNAcentral lists this ribosomal RNA (301 nucleotides) under uncultured bacterium. RNAcentral describes it as "partial 16S ribosomal RNA". It matches the Rfam family "Bacterial small subunit ribosomal RNA", at positions 509 to 809 of the family's 1533-position model. The record is from RNAcentral.
CAGUCGCCACGGUAAUACGAAGGGUGCAAGCGUUACUCGGAAUUACUGGGCGUAAAGCGUGCGUAGGUGGUGGUUUAAGUCCGUUGUGAAAGCCCUGGGCUCAACCUGGGAAUUGCAGUGGAUACUGGGUCACUAGAGUGUGGUAGAGGAUAGUGGAAUUUCCGGUGUAGCAGUGAAAUGCGUAGAGAUCGGAAGGAACAUCUGUGGCGAAGGCGACUAUCUGGGCCAACACUGACACUGAGGCACGAAAGCGUGGGGAGCAAACAGGAUUAGAUACCCCGGUAGUCCCUGUCUCUUAUAA